GCGCCCGUAGCUCAGUGGAUAGAGCAGGUGCCUUCUAAGCACUUGGUCGAGGGUUCGACCCCCUCCGGGCGCG
Molecule: transfer RNA, 73 nt
Filed under: Geodermatophilaceae bacterium
Lineage: Bacteria; Bacillati; Actinomycetota; Actinomycetes; Geodermatophilales; Geodermatophilaceae
Also listed under: 2 other names
Description: tRNA-Arg
Rfam family: tRNA
About the family: Transfer RNA (tRNA) molecules are approximately 80 nucleotides in length. Their secondary structure includes four short double-helical elements and three loops (D, anti-codon, and T loops).
Source: RNAcentral